RNAcentral lists this long non-coding RNA (1131 nucleotides) under Olea europaea subsp. europaea. Lineage: Eukaryota; Viridiplantae; Streptophyta; Magnoliopsida; Lamiales; Oleaceae. The record is from RNAcentral.
AUCACCUUUAAACCUUUUGCUUUCAAAUUUUGACUCAAUAAUAGAGAUGUCUCUUAUCAACUAGUAACACUCUCCGUCAAUAAAUGAAAUUUUUGGCAUGAAUAACAUAUUAAGAUUAAAAAAAAUAAAAAAAAUCUUAAACAUCUUACUAAUUGCUACAAGCAAGCUUGAUAUGUACAGCUGCGAAAUUGAGUUGCAGUGUCCACCGCCCGCCAAAAAAAAUUAAUGUACAGAUGUAACUCAAUAACUUGUUUAGAUGCCACCUGAACCUGCAAACAAACAAUAUAACGAGAUAAAAAGGCAGUAUAUUUUCUCAGGUUUAAUUGAACAUUACGAUUUCCCCCUCUACGUUUACAAAAAUCCAUCUCAAGUAGCUCAACAUUAUUUGCUUACAAGACUCCACUUGAGUCUUUUGCUCAUAGAGUAGGCAAGUAGAUUAGUAGAAUAGAAGUCUCAUGUCUGUUAUUUUCAAUAACAUUUGUUCAAUCCUCCUUGGCAGAAUUCAACAGGUACAUAUAAUGUUGGAUCUCAAGUAUUUAUGGGAUAUAGGACUUGGUGCCUAGUAGAGUAUACAAAAAUCUUGGUAGGAUAGGAUCAAAAGGGUUAAUGGAAAUCUAUUACACAAUAAUAUGAUCACGUAAAACCGAUGUGUAAUUUCUAAUAAACAAGGAUCCUGUCAAUUUCCAGAGAAAUAAUUACACAAAAACAUUAUACUAAGCAGACACGUCUCUCAGUACUGAAUCUUGAUAUCAUAUUGCAAUGAGCGGUCUGACUAUGAGACUUGAAGACCUAGGGAAAACAGAGGUGGUUGGCAGGAUCUUUCUAAUUAACUUUUGGGAGUGGAUGAUCAGAUAACCUGUACGCAACUUUUGGGGAAUGUAUGUGGGUGGGUCUUCAACUGAAACUUCAUCCAUGAAAUUUCCACGGUAAAGCCUCGAAUGAUAAAGGAAGAAACCAAUCAAAAUCACCCAGCUGCAGAAAGAGAAUAAACAGGCCACCAAUAACUGAAGAGCGACACAACAUUUAAUUGGUGAAUAAGUUGUCAAACUGCACUACCAUGCCAUUCUGUAAAAUUUUGAACACUAGAGUAUAUAAGGUACAAAUAAAACAGCAACAAUGCAAAUCAAGGGA